AUGGAAGACUUGGUUAUUCGGCUAUGGCCUGCCGAGCUGAUUCCAAGCAGCUACUUCGGGCUCGUGAAGCGGCUUGUAAGCGCUUGCCCUCGACUUGACGUCAUCAAGCGGUCGAUCUGUAUAGAAGGUGCGCGAAUGGCCUUCGCCCGCGCAAAGGUGCACUGGGGGAAGAUGGAUGUUGAGAAGCUGAGGACCGAAGGGCCGCCAGAGGGAAAGGAGCACCGCAAGCCCGAAUUAUAUUAUGAGAGUGUCCUGAAAGGAUCCUACCUUGCAGCGGAGCUAUGCACCAAGGACAUUAUAUUUCCAUGA
RNAcentral lists this ribosomal RNA (309 nucleotides) under Triticum aestivum (bread wheat). RNAcentral's name for it is "partial small subunit ribosomal RNA". Lineage: Eukaryota; Viridiplantae; Streptophyta; Magnoliopsida; Poales; Poaceae. The record is from RNAcentral.